GUGCUAAUACAUGCAAGUCGAGCGAAUGGAUUAAGAGCUUGCUCUUAUGAAGUUAGCGGCGGACGGGUGAGUAACACGUGGGUAACCUGCCCAUAAGACUGGGAUAACUCCGGGAAACCGGGGCUAAUACCGGAUAACAUUUUGAACUGCAUGGUUCGAAAUUGAAAGGCGGCUUCGGCUGUCACUUAUGGAUGGACCCGCGUCGCAUUAGCUAGUUGGUGAGGUAACGGCUCACCAAGGCAACGAUGCGUAGCCGACCUGAGAGGGUGAUCGGCCACACUGGGACUGAGACACGGCCCAGACUCCUACGGGAGGCAGCAGUAGGGAAUCUUCCGCAAUGGACGAAAGUCUGACGGAGCAACGCCGCGUGAGUGAUGAAGGCUUUCGGGUCGUAAAACUCUGUUGUUAGGGAAGAACAAGUGCUAGUUGAAUAAGCUGGCACCUUGACGGUACCUAACCAGAAAGCCACGGCUAACUACGUGCCAGCAGCCGCGGUAAUACGUAGGUGGCAAGCGUUAUCCGGAAUUAUUGGGCGUAAAGCGCGCGCAGGUGGUUUCUUAAGUCUGAUGUGAAAGCCCACGGCUCAACCGUGGAGGGUCAUUGGAAACUGGGAGACUUGAGUGCAGAAGAGGAAAGUGGAAUUCCAUGUGUAGCGGUGAAAUGCGUAGAGAUAUGGAGGAACACCAGUGGCGAAGGCGACUUUCUGGUCUGUAACUGACACUGAGGCGCGAAAGCGGGCCUG
This 742-nucleotide ribosomal RNA is filed under the name Bacillus thuringiensis. RNAcentral's name for it is "bacterial SSU rRNA". It matches the Rfam family "Bacterial small subunit ribosomal RNA", at positions 44 to 767 of the family's 1533-position model. Lineage: Bacteria; Bacillati; Bacillota; Bacilli; Caryophanales; Bacillaceae. The record is from RNAcentral.